Molecule: non-coding RNA, 1861 nt
Organism: Microcebus murinus (gray mouse lemur)
Lineage: Eukaryota; Metazoa; Chordata; Mammalia; Primates; Cheirogaleidae
Source: RefSeq, a predicted model, not a curated record
GACUGCUUUUCUACUUAAGCUCUAGAAAGAAGGCGGAAGCUAGGAUUUCUCCUUAGGGUGCACAUUAUUGCAGAGGUGGGCAGCACUCCAGAAGCACUUUGACAGCUUAUUCCUAUGCGGGAGAAACUGGAAGUGUCCUGCACAUGGAGGAAAUAGAAAGUGUCCUGCACAGGGGAAAAACAGGAAGUGUCCUGCACAGGGGGAAAAGAGGAAGUAUCCUGCAUGUGGAAGAAACAGGAAGUGUCCUGCUCAUGGAGGAAACAGGAAGUGUCCUGCUCAUGGAGGAAACAGGAAGUGUCCUGCACAGGGAAGAACACCAUGUGUUUAACCAGAUUCACCCUACUUUGGAAACAAUUGUGGUUUUAAAUGUCCAUAAAUUCUUUGAUACUCCUCUAUUUAGGAGAUAAAACUUGCUCCUCUUCCAUGGAGUGUGGACUGAGUGGCUCAUUCUAAUGAUCAGAAAAGAGUGUGUGACUUCGGAGACUGGGUCAUAAGAAGCACUGCAGCUUCCUGCUUGCUCUCUCACAUGCUCCUGGAUUGCUUGCGUGAGGACAUCCAGGAACUGAGGGAAUCUAGAGCGCAGCAUAUACAUCAAGUAAGAGGAUGAAGAAGGGCCACAUGCAGAGGGAAAUGCAGGUGAUAUCCUGUCCAGUGACUUUGCCUUGGUGAUUAAAUGAUGUUGGACACUAGGUGAGUAGAUUCUGGGGCAUCAGUAUACAUUCUUUUACUCAACAGAUAUUUACUUAACACCCACUAAAUCUUAGGCACUGCUCUAGGUGGAGUGCGCACAGCGGUAAGUACACACAUUCCCUUACCUCAGGGAGCUUAUAUUCAGGUAGUUUUGAGGUUCAGGUCAGGUCCCUGUAUCAUGGCCCAGGCACAACUGACCCUAGUCAACACACAGUUGUAGCAAACAAUCUUUGUACAUUUCUCUGUCUUCAUAAUCUUUUUUUUUUUAUUUCAGCAUAUUACAGAAGUACAAAUGUUUAGGUUACAUAUAUUGCCCUUGCCUCACCUGAGUCAGAGCUUUAAGCGUGUCCAUCUCCCAGACGGUGCCAUAAUCUUGAUUAGUCAAGAAGAAAUUCAUUAAUAAAUUCAAAACAAGUUGUGCUUUAAAGAAAGAGCUUCCAAAAACGAUUGUAAAUUCUGGAGGCUGAAUAUCCCGUGUUGUAUUCAUGCAACGGAGGAUUAGUUCUGAGGUCAUUUUAUGUAAAAGAAAGAAGAGAGAAAUAAAGGGGAUGGGGAACCAAAACCUGAGGAUGCAAAACAAGUGCCAUUUGUUCAGGAAAGACAUAAUGUCAGAACCACAGACACUUCUAAAGAUUCAGAUCUUUGUGAUUAAAGCUGUGCCCGGAAAGUAAAUACGUGUUCUCUCAUGGAGACUCAGGGCAGCCGAGGAUAUUAGUCCUUGUUAGCUUCUUCUUGACAGGCCUGGGCAGAGGCUGAGGCCCCACAGAGCCUGCUUUCCACCUCACUACCUGUGGCAAAACAGCAGGCUUGUGCAUCAGUUAGAGCCCUGUUAACAGGAAGCAGAAACCGUGCUAGCUAUUGUAAACAGAAAGAUAUUUUAAAGAUGUAAUUAAGUGUUUACAAAAUCAUGGAAGACAGCGGGAGCAAGCUCCAGGCUCUGUCUCUAGCAACAACUCCCAGAACAAGGUUGUCGAACUAGCCCGCCAGGGGUGCUUCUGUCUCUACAAAAGUCAGGAAGGUGAGGGAUGAGGAGGCCGCUCCUGGGCCCGUAGCGUUUAUGAACACCCCACUGUAAUAGUGAUCCAGGGUCCAGGAAACCGCUGAUUCUGCUGAGGCAAAGGCCUCUCAGUGCCGACAUAGCUAGUGGCCAGACACUGGAACAUAGGUUUUU